RNAcentral lists this unclassified non-coding RNA (315 nucleotides) under air metagenome. RNAcentral's name for it is "partial contains small subunit ribosomal RNA, internal transcribed spacer 1, and 5.8S ribosomal RNA". The stretch from base 1 to 46 matches the Rfam family "Eukaryotic small subunit ribosomal RNA", at positions 1786 to 1831 of the family's 1831-position model. The record is from RNAcentral.
AAGUCGUAACAAGGUUUCCGUAGGUGAACCUGCGGAAGGAUCAUUAUUGAAAUAAACCUGAUGGGUUGUUGCUGGUUUUCUCUAGAGAACAUGUGCACGCUUGUCAUCUUUAUAUUUUCCCCUGUGCACCUUUUGUAGACCUGAAUACCUUUCUGAAUGUGCAGCAUUCAGGUUUGAGGAUUGACUUUUCUGUCUUUCCUUAUAUUUUCAGGCCUAUGUCUUUCAUAUACCCCCAAUGUAUGUUAUAGAAUGUAGCUAAUAGGUGUUGUACCUAUAAACUUUAUACAACUUUCAGCAACGGAUCUCUUGGCUCUC